RNAcentral lists this small nuclear RNA (85 nucleotides) under Microcebus murinus (gray mouse lemur). The record is from RNAcentral. Lineage: Eukaryota; Metazoa; Chordata; Mammalia; Primates; Cheirogaleidae.
GUGCUCACUUCAGCAGCACAUAUUCUAAAAUUGGAACAAUGCAGAGAAGAUUAGCAUGGCCCUAGGGCAAGGAUAACAUGAAAUA